CAUAAACUUGCCAAGCCGCAAAGCAAAUCCCCUUCCACUGAAGAGGUGCUGGGCUUGUCGUAGGAUGUGACCCACUGGAUGCUGGCAGGCGGUUCUUCUGAGAGACUGAGAGAUGCUGGAAAACUCAGCAUCUCAGUGAAUGACUGGAAGAACAAGGGAGUAAAAGAACAUGAAGGGAGAGCCAUAAUGCAAGCCAUUCCUAGUGGAAAAGUUGAGAAGGAAGAACAGCUUAUUCCAGACCAGUGAAAUUGAAAUUCCCAUGUGGAACAACAUAAGAGGAAAGAGGCCUUCCCUUACAAAGUUGGACAGCCCUCUCGCAUGGCAAUUUGGCAGUAAGUAUCAACAUGUUCAGUGUGUAUAACCUUUGCCCAAGCAAUACCACUUCUGGGAAUCUACAGAAAUUCUACCAGAAGACCACAAAGAUACAUAAGCCCUGAGCACUGAAGCACUGUCUGAUGUGAAAACCUGAAAAUAUCCUUUGUGUUUCCCAUAAGCAAACAUUGAUGCAUUUAUGCCGUGAAAAGGGCUGUUAG
Molecule: long non-coding RNA, 533 nt
Filed under: Homo sapiens (human)
Lineage: Eukaryota; Metazoa; Chordata; Mammalia; Primates; Hominidae
Description: non-protein coding lnc-TXNL4B-1:1
Source: RNAcentral